Molecule: ribosomal RNA, 425 nt
Filed under: uncultured bacterium
Lineage: Bacteria
Description: bacterial SSU rRNA
Rfam family: Bacterial small subunit ribosomal RNA
Source: RNAcentral
GAAUUUUGCGCAAUGGGGGAAACCCUGACGCAGCAACGCCGCGUGAGUGAUGAAGGCUUUCGGGUCGUAAAGCUCUGUCAGAAGGGAAGAAAUGUGGGUGGCUAAUAUCCAUACCACUUGACGGUACCUUCAAAGGAAGCACCGGCUAACUCCGUGCCAGCCGCACCGGUAAUACGGAGGGUGCGAGCGUUGUUCGGAAUUAUUGGGCGUAAAGCGCGUGUAGGCGGUCUUUUAAGUCUGAUGUGAAAGCCCUGGGCUCAACCCAGGAAGUGCACUGGAAACUGGGAGACUUGAAUACGGGAGAGGGUAGUGGAAUUCCUAGUGUAGGAGUGAAAUCCGUAGAUAUUAGGAGGGACACCGGUGGCGAAGGCGGCUACCUGGACCGAUAUUGACGCUGAGACGCGAAAGCGUGGGGAGCAAACAGG